RNAcentral lists this non-coding RNA (103 nucleotides) under Pelobacter sp. RNAcentral describes it as "TPP sequence". It matches the Rfam family "TPP riboswitch aptamer (THI element)". Rfam says of the family: Vitamin B(1) in its active form thiamin pyrophosphate (TPP) is an essential coenzyme that is synthesised by coupling of pyrimidine and thiazole moieties in bacteria. The previously detected thiamin-regulatory element, thi box was extended, resulting in a new, highly conserved RNA secondary structure, the THI element, which is widely distributed in eubacteria and also occurs in some archaea. Analysis of operon structures identified a large number of new candidate thiamin-regulated genes, mostly transporters, in various prokaryotic organisms. RNAcentral also lists the same sequence under 1 other name. Lineage: Bacteria; Pseudomonadati; Thermodesulfobacteriota; Desulfuromonadia; Desulfuromonadales; Desulfuromonadaceae. The record is from RNAcentral.
GCAACGCCCUAGGGGAGUUUCUAACUGAGAGCCCGGCCACAGCGGGCAACCCUUUGAACCUGAUCCGGGUCAUUCCGGCGGAGGGAAGCGGCGCGAACUCCGG